RNAcentral lists this ribosomal RNA (371 nucleotides) under uncultured bacterium. RNAcentral's name for it is "bacterial SSU rRNA". It matches the Rfam family "Bacterial small subunit ribosomal RNA", at positions 527 to 896 of the family's 1533-position model. The record is from RNAcentral.
AGGGGAUACAAGCGUUACUCGGAAUUACUGGGCGUAAAGCGUCUGUAGGUUCUUACAAAAGUCUGGGGUAAAAACUCAGUGCUUAACACUGAGAGCGUCCCGGAAACUCUGUAGGUUGAGCAGUGGAGAGGCAUCUGGAAUGCCGCAUGUAGGAGUAAAAUCCGUAGAUAUGCGGUAGAACGCCAAAAGCGAAGGCAGGAUGCUAGCCACUUGCUGACACUGAGAGACGAAAGCGUGGGGAGCAAAAGGGAUUAGAUACCCCUGUAGUCCACGCCCUAAACGAUGCGAACUGGACGUUGGGCUCAAUUAGGAGCUCAGUGUCGAAGCUAACGCGUUAAGUUCGCCGCCUGGGGAGUACGGUCGCAAGACUG